This 459-nucleotide ribosomal RNA is filed under the name uncultured bacterium. RNAcentral's name for it is "partial 16S ribosomal RNA". It matches the Rfam family "Bacterial small subunit ribosomal RNA", at positions 338 to 795 of the family's 1533-position model. The record is from RNAcentral.
CCUACGGGAGGCAGCAGUGAGGAAUAUUGGUCAAUGGGAGAGAUCCUGAACCAGCCAAGCCGCGUGAGGGAAGACGGCCCUAUGGGUUGUAAACCUCUUUUGUCGGAGAACAAAACCCGGGACGUGUCCCGGACUGCGUGUAUCCGAAGAAAAAGCAUCGGCUAACUCCGUGCCAGCAGCCGCGGUAAUACGGAGGAUGCGAGCGUUAUCCGGAUUUAUUGGGUUUAAAGGGUGCGUAGGCGGUCCGUUAAGUCAGUGGUAAAAGUGCGGGGCUCAACCCCGUCGAGCCGUUGAAACUGGCAGACUUGAGUUGGCGAGAAGUACGCGGAAUGCGCGGUGUAGCGGUGAAAUGCAUAGAUAUCGCGCAGAACUCCGAUUGCGAAGGCAGCGUACCGGCGCCAGACUGACGCUGAGGCACGAAAGCGUGGGUAUCGAACAGGAUUAGAUACCCCUGUAGUC